GACGAACGCUGGCGGCGUGCCUAAUACAUGCAAGUAGAACGCACAGUUUAUACCGUAGCUUGCUACACCAUAGACUGUGAGUUGCGAACGGGUGAGUAACGCGUAGGUAACCUGCCUGGUAGCGGGGGGUAACUAUUGGAAACGAUAGCUAAUACCGCAUAAUAUUAAUUAUUGCAUGAUAAUUAAUUGAAAGGUGCAAUUGCACCACUACCAGAUGGACCUGCGUUGUAUUAGCUAGUAGGUGAGGUAACGGCUCACCUAGGCGACGAUACAUAGCCGACCUGAGAGGGUGAUCGGCCACACUGGGACUGAGACACGGCCCAGACUCCUACGGGAGGCAGCAGUAGGGAAUCUUCGGCAAUGGACGAAAGUCUGACCGAGCAGCGCCGCGUGAGUGAAGAAGGGUUUCGGAUCGUAAAGCUCUGUUGUAAGAGAAGAACGGGUGUGAGAGUGGAAAGUUCACACUGUGACGGUAUCUUACCAGAAAGGGACGGCUAACUACGUG
Molecule: ribosomal RNA, 505 nt
Filed under: uncultured bacterium
Lineage: Bacteria
Description: partial 16S ribosomal RNA
Rfam family: Bacterial small subunit ribosomal RNA
Source: RNAcentral